UACAGAGGAUGCAAGCGUUAUCCGGAAUGAUUGGGCGUAAAGCGUGCGUAGACGGUAGCGUAAGUCAGAUGUGAAAGCCCCGGGCUCAACCUGGGAACUGCAUUUGAGACUGCUCUGCUCGGGUGCGGAAGAGGGAAGCGGAAUUUCCGGUGUAGCGGUGAAAUGCGUAGAUAUCGGAAGGAACACCAGUGGCGAAAGCGGCUUCCUGGUCCGACACCGACGUUCAGGCACGAAAGCGUGGGGAGCAAACAGG
Molecule: ribosomal RNA, 253 nt
Filed under: uncultured bacterium
Lineage: Bacteria
Description: partial 16S ribosomal RNA
Rfam family: Bacterial small subunit ribosomal RNA
Source: RNAcentral